Molecule: ribosomal RNA, 815 nt
Filed under: Nocardia farcinica
Lineage: Bacteria; Bacillati; Actinomycetota; Actinomycetes; Mycobacteriales; Nocardiaceae
Description: partial 23S ribosomal RNA
Rfam family: Bacterial large subunit ribosomal RNA
Source: RNAcentral
CGGGGGAUAAGCUUCGUAGUCGAGAGGGAAACAGCCCAGAUCGCCGGCUAAGGCCCCUAAGCGUGUACUAAGUGGAAAAGGAUGUGGGGUCGCGAAGACAACCAGGAGGUUGGCUUAGAAGCAGCCAUCCUUGAAAGAGUGCGUAAUAGCUCACUGGUCAAGUGAUCCUGCGCCGACAAUGUAGCGGGGCUCAAGUACACCGCCGAAGCCGCGGCACUCCAACAUGACAUCCGCAUCGGGUUACGGUCCGGUGUGCAGUGGUUGGGGUGGGUAGGGGAGCGUCGUGCAGCCAGGGAAGCAGCAGUGUGAACUAGUUGUGGAGGCUGUGCGAGUGAGAAUGCAGGCAUGAGUAGCGAAAGACGAGUGAGAAACUCGUCCGCCGAAUGACCAAGGGUUCCUGGGCCAGGUUAAUCCGCCCAGGGUGAGUCGGGACCUAAGGCGAGGCCGACAGGCGUAGUCGAUGGACAACGGGUUGAUAUUCCCGUACCCGUGUAUCCGCGCCCAAUGGCGAAUCAGUGGUGCUAAGUGCCCAAAAGCGGAUGGACCUCCUUCGGGAGGCCGGAAGUGGCUGCGCAUGACCCCUGCUGUAGUAGUCAAGCGAUGGGGUGACGCAGGAAGGUAGCUGGGCCAGUGAGUGGUUGUACUGGUGUAAGCCUGUAGGGCGUUGUGUAGGCAAAUCCGCACAACAUGAGCCUGAGAGGUGAUGCGUAGCCGAUUGAGGUGAAUUCAGUGAUCCUAUGCUGCCGAGAAAAGCCUCUAGUGAGUUGGUACACGGCCCGUACCCCAAACCGACACAGGUGGUCAGGUAGAGAAUA